ACAGUGGAUCAUGAGGCGAUGUGAGUGGGUCUACGCAAUUUGCUAGACUCAGGAAAGUCCCCGGGCCACGACUGCAGAGAUGCAGACUCGGAAACGGGUAACUUCGAGCUGGGACUUGUCUCGUUUCCUUUGAAGCGAGGGGCUGAGACACGUGUGGAGCCUUUGCGAGUCCCGCCGAAGACAUUGGCCAAUGUCACAGUCAUUCACAUGGUCUUUCCUGACUAACAGAACGGGGCUUACGCCCUCGUGAUCCACCUUUUUCAUAUAAAUUCUGCUAAAAAGUAACAACAUAUUUUUGAGCGUUUUAUGUAUGGCCUUUCAUUCGUGUAUCAAUACUUAAUACACUAGUAAAAUGCUCUUAUAUUUGUCUUGUGACUCCGUCUUGGAAUAAAGGAUUGGGGUUUUCACAAGAUGGUUAAGAGAAGAGUUUUAGAAAUACGAAUGAUCCUCUCAGCAAUCAUGCAAAGAAUUUGAGCUUUCAAACCAUCCAAAUAGAAUAGAAAUGAGCUCUAGUUAUAGUGAUACUAUGCUUGUUCAUAUGAUACACACCCCACAUCAUCUCAAAGUUUGGUUUCGAAUCCGAAAAAAAAAGGGAAUUAGGAAAUAUUUUUUUGGACAACCCUUUGAUGAUUCACUAUGGAUAUUAGAUAGCAUUGCAUGUUCUGCAAAUUAGAGGCACAUCGAAACAGAUGAAUUGAAAAUCCUAGAAAUAUGGUGGAAUAUGUGGACUGAAUGUUUUAUAUAAACACCAAACCAAAGAGGAAGACCUGCCAUAAACCCUUAUAACUAUCAUUUUUUUAAUUGUCUGGUUAAACACCCUUCUUUUCACGGUGAGAGUUGAGAUACAUAUCAGAACAAUACACAACGGGCUAAGUAAGGAGACACAAAUCAGAACAAUAUAUACAAGUGAUAUGCAAAAGUGGGGAAGAAAACAGAGAUUUGCACAAAUGUGUAUGCAUCCCAAACAUGAUGAACAAGCUGAAAAUUUCUUCUUUUCCUUUUACAGCAUGUUUGCAGUAGGAAAAGAUUGAACUGAAAACAUGGUAUACUACUCGGCACAUUAAACAUUAGGGGCGACAAAGUGGGGGAAUCUGUCUCCACUUCCCUUAUUUGCCGAAGGAAAAUGAGACCCACCUCCUGGUAUAUAUACAGUCAAUAACAUUUUUUAUGGCUUGUUUGCUAAGAAGACAAUUCCUCAUUACAAUUAUAAAAAUAUUGUUCACACUCAAAAACUAUGCAUUUCCUUAUAAAGCUAGUAAACAGAAAUGAAAGAUCAGAAGAAGCACAACUGUAUCAGAAAUCUACACUCUCAGUACAUUAUACAUAGAGAACUCUCAAUUUCGUUGGUCUUCUAGCCAUCCUUGGAGGAUGUAGAUUUUGGAGCAGUGGUUGUUAACCACAGCAAGCUCCUCUGCACUUUCUGAAACAGCGACUUUGAUCGUGUAUUACACAAAGUGAAAGCAAUUGCAUCCAAAUACCAAUCACCUCGCCCCUUAAAACCCACAACACAGCCUCCAUCUAUCGAAAAAGUGAAUAGAGUCCCUUCUUCAACUCCAUAUGGUCCAAAGGUUCUGUGGUUGCUCUUGAAUGUCAAUGACCGAAUCACGGGGGUGCCUCCGCGAACAACUGGACAGUAGUGGCCGCUCACACUGACCAAGAACUCAUCUGGGAAUUGCAGCUUAAUCUAGGAUACAUGAAAAAACCGAACACUUUUUUAUAUUUGUUUGGAAUUUGAUGAAAUGGUGAAGCAAAGAGAAGUUUACCUCAGCUGUUUUGUUACCUCCAACUCCUCCAUGUUUUUCAGCUGUGAAAGGCUUGCCAUUCCUAUCAUAAACCACCUGAAUUGAGUCUAUGCAAUGGCCAUAAACAAGUUUGAUUUCUCUCACCCCUGUGAAGAUUCCAUCAUCCCAGCUAUUUCCACCGUUGCCUCCCCAUGGUCCCACUAUUACAUUCUUCUUCCUACUUUUUCCUUCCUACAAAAAAUCUAUUACCCUAUUGGUUUAACUAUGAAGAAACAUAUAUAGAACAUAAGCAUACCUACACAACGAUGGAAAUUUAACAACAGCAUAUGCUAAACAGGCGAUUUUCUACAUCAUGUAUUUGGACAGGACGACUAGUUCUACAGCCCAAUAUUAAAGAACAAAAAAUAUUAUAAAAUUAUAAACGACAGGGAUUCAUUGUGUUCUUUACCAUAAGGCAACUUCCAAAGGGCAACUACCAAAGGGGGCGUGUACAAGAUAUUGGAAGAAACAUCAAUACGUUAUGAUAGCGCAGCUACUGAUUGGAAUGCAAAAUGAUGUUUAUAUAAGCAACAAAUUAGUGACAAUUGAACAAUUUUAGAAGAAUAUCACUUUUGCUUUUCAAUAAGCAUAUUAAGGAAUUAUACUAGACGAAUCAGAACUACACAUAUCAAAUCGCUCAUUUCCGAUUAUAAUUUGCAAUAUAUUAGCUGGCCACCAUUGUGAGCAUGACAGAUUCUCACGGGUUAUAUUCGAUCAAGUUAAAAAUAUAUUGUGUUCCUAUAAACAAAGUAUCCACUGAACCAUAAUUUGAUAUAACAGUAAUCAAAAGGGGGAAAAAGAAAACGAAUAAAUUCCACAGUACAACUUUCUUUAAACAAUUUUCUGUCAAUCAUUUGUAAAUAAGUCUUCAUGUCUCCAUUUCAUGUUGAUGAGAAUUCCAGCACAAUCUAAGAUUAGUAAUUUGACACUCCAAUGUUGUAUACUCACUCUUCAACCAAUUAUACCACGUAGAAGUCCUUUGGUCUUCACUUACUUCAAUGUCUUCAAACUUCACAUCAUUUAGGUCUUCAAACUUGACAUCCUUCAGAAAGUGCCGCCAACAUUUAUUUUUGGAAGAACUAUAUAUGCAACAGAUUGGGUCCUCGCCUUUGUUCUUUAUCAUUUCAUACACUAGCUGCAAUUGUCAUUUUUCCAGUUGAUAAUAUCUUGCUUCAUCAUUGAUGACAUAUUUAAAUUCAACAUGAAUGUAUGUAUGAAUUGGAAACAGAAAACAAACAAACAAACAUAUCUCUGGGAAUUUACUUUCGGUGGGAGAAAUUAUAGAUAGAGUCACUGGGUGCAAUUUCCAUAACAAACUAUUCAGAGCAUCAUCAAUACAUGCUGAUGAAUUGAUAAUUUCACGGCCGAGGUCAGGCACUUGAGGCAAUGUGACAUUGUUCAAAUCUUCAUGAAUAACAAUAUUCUGGAUCAAGCAACCGGGUAAUGAAAAAUAAAUGAGGCUACAGAGUGCUUUAGAAAUGGAAAUCCAUCAAAGAAGACAACCAAAUAUGACUAGAAUGUUAAAAGAAAAGUACCUUAUUAGAAUAGAGAACCAAUUUAAAAUCCUUGAUGAUUGAACUUUUGAAUGAAUGGUGUCAUCCUAAUCCAAAUCUUGUCGCCAUGUCCAACAACUGUAUGUUCAGAUUUAGGUACAAAAGAAAGCUUGGCGAUCGGAAAGGGUGAAUCUCAACCCAGGGCAUAGUCUCACCCUUGCACACAAAAGACACAAGUGUUAGCUCGAUUGGCAAGUACACCAAUUCGUCCAAGUAGUAAUUAAAAUGCCUAUUCCAGGCCUCCUACUGUGUAAUUCUAUAAAAAAAUACACUCCAAAACAUUGUAAAUUAGUUAACUUUAGCAUCUAUUGAACAAAAACUCAAAAGAAGUUAAAUUCCUAAUGUUUUAACACAAAAGAAACAAUAAAAGAGAGAAAAAUUAGAUAAUUGCUAUGUGAUUAGGAGCCUCUACUAAAAAACACUCAAUUUCUUGCAUCCUUUUAAAGUGAACUUCUCAAGAUGAGGAUUUGAAAUAAUAAUGAUUCUACUCUUAUUGUUGGACAUACUUAAACCCACUUUUUCAAGUAAGGGAAAAUUGGAGAACUGAUUUUCACAAAAAUCACAAGUCACUUGGGUAUGCUCCAGUGUCAACCUUUUCAGAGACGUGCACCCCUCCAAACUAACCUUGCAGGGACUUGUUUUCUUGCCACAAUACCAAAAUGUGUCAAGAUUUGGAGCACUGAUCUCAACCUUCUUCAAUUGAUAGCAGUAGUGGAUUUCUGCCCUUUUGAGUCGAAUGAGAUUUGAAACAUGCAAAUGCUUCAAACCGGAGCACUUUAUGAUUCUUAAAUCCUCAAUUGAAUGACAUCUGGAAAUAAGAUUUUGAAUAAAGUUCUCAACCAAGGGAAUUUUGCGCAGAUAAAGCUUCUGAAGAUAAGGGAGCAUUAUAUUAUUGCAAGUUCCCAGUUUGCAACCACUUAACCUUAUGCCAGUCAAUGUUUUGGAAGACAAGACAGUUUGUGGUAAAGUAUAGCACUCACCAUUCUUGAUGCCAACAUGGAGAUCUAGUUCUUUGAUGUUUCUGUAGAAAGCAAUAGUUAGCCAAAGUUCCAGACAUGGGGUAUCUUCUAAUAAGUCAAAGGAGGUCAUGUGCAACACCGAUUUCCGUAUUUGCAUUUUUUUUGCAUUGCGGAUAAGUAGAGAAUUAGAUACAUAAUUUCUAAACAUCAUCUCCUUAUUACUGCUAUCUUCAGGUCCAAUUUUUGCAGCAAACUUUCUUUCAUCGAAAAUCAAAACAGAAAAAGAAUGCCACAAUUCUCUCCAUCUCUUGGACAAAACACUGGUUCGGAUUGCAAUGUUCACGAAGGUGAGAUAGAAUGUGAUGGAUGACGUGAUCAGGAAACAGCGAAAUACGAUCCAUGGAUUCAUCAACAAUUGGGUCCAUUUGAUCUGAAUCUUUUUCUUUUUCGUUUUCUUUUUCCAACAAGCUUCAUACUUUUCAUACCAAAAAAUACAGAUUAUGACCGAUUUAACGUUCAUUUUGUUUGACUAGCUAGAAACACGAAAAGGCAAUUCAUUGAGAUUAAGACGAUAAUCACUAACAAGUCACUACUUAAGACACAUAAGAACAAGAGAUGGCAAAAAAUCAACGCGUCUCAAGACACUCUAAGAAAAAGAAAGUUAAAGAAUAAGGGUUAACAUAAAAAAUUCCAUGAGAUGAAAAUGAAUUCAAUAUAUAAAACAAAAAGGUGCCGGAUUGAAGGAAUUAGAUGAAAUGAAAUUUAGGAAAUGGGGAAAGAAAGAAGGCUAUUAGGCAUACGCAUAGGCAUAGGGUAACGAAGCGGAACGUUAAACAGAGAAAAUUAGUUUGAUUGCGGGUAACGAAGCGAAACGUUAAACAUGACCAUGGCAGAGAUUACGUGAUCGCAGGGUUUUCAUUUUUCAAAACGGAGGUGUCACAGAGAAAGAAAGAACGAACGAAGGGGUUUUAAGGAAAUCGUAGUAGCAGCAGCAGCAAAACAUAGUGCGCUCUGUAUUGGGCUACUUAAUGGGCCCAUACAUGGGCCGAAGCAAGGUUUAAAAGAAAAGUUGAAGGAAUUUUAAAUAUGCUAAUUAAAUUUAGAGUUUGUUUGUCAUCCAAUCAACUUUUGAACUCUUGCGUAUCAUAUUAAUUAACAUAUUUGUGAGAAUUAUGAAGUAGUUCAAUACAACUUUCCUUUUGAACGAUAGUGUACAAAAAUUUAUUGUUGAUAACUUUUUCGAUAACAGAAUCUAUUUUUUUAAAAGUAUUUAUCAUAUAUGUUAAUUUAUAAUUAAAUAGUAAAAUAAAAUUAUUUUAUAUUGUAAUGAAUAACUUUUUUCUCUUAAAUUUAUUCAUAUAAUAUAUUUAUGAUAAAAAAAUUAUUAAAAAACACACUUUAUGGAGUGUGUGAUGCGUAAUGAUAUAUAUAUAUAUAUAUAUAUAUAUAUAUAUAUAUAUAUAUAUAUAUUGUUGAACUAUGCAUAAUGACAAUUGAACCUAUCUCAAUUAACAUAAUUCUGAAAAUAACAUCGAUUUCUUUACCACUGAAAAAAAAAAAGUGAAUAAAUUAAAAUAGUCAAGUGCUGUGACUUAGACCACCCGAUUGGACGUCAUUGGCCGCCCUUUCAAAUCGACAUGUUUAUCAUUUUCUAAAUUGCUUUUUAGAAAACCAUAUCGUACCGUCCAUACAUUUUAAUUUGUUUAUUUUCGAGGUAAAAGAAUGUAGUAGUACUCCUAAAUUGUUUUCUACACAACCAUACCAUACCGUCCAUAGUAUACAUAGUAAUUUAUUGAAAUAAUUACAGAAAAAAUAUUUAUAAAAUAUAAAGGGUUGUUUUGACUGGAAUUUAAGAUAUAAAAAAAAUUAAACCCAUCAAAUUUUAAUAGAUUAAUUUUAUUUGAAAAAUUCGAUUAGUAUAAACUGAACUAAACCAAGCCAAUUUAAAUUAGGUCGGUUUGAUUUUAGAUAUCAAGUUAGAAUUUUUUUAAAAUUUUUGUACUUGCAUAAAUUAAAUGUUACUAAUAUUUUAGUUUAUAAAUUAUACAAGAUAAGUAUUUAUUUAUAUAUAAUUAUAAUUUAUGAUAAAUAAAUGUUUAAAUUUAAAAAUUAUAUUAUUACUACAAAUUGUAAUAAAUACAUACUUUUAAAAUAUAAAUUAGUUUUUGACUUUAUAAUAAAUGAAUUUAGUUUUUAUACAAGAAUAUUUUUAAUUGUAAUGAAUACACAAUUGAAAAUCAAAUAUAAAAAUAAAAUAAAAGAAGAAUAAUUUGAGAUGAUUAAAAGAAAUAUAUUUUCUUGGCUAAUUAUGAGGAUAAUAUGCAAAGCACACACCUCCCAAAAUUAGAAGAAAGAGUGUUAUAAUUAUCUAAUUAAGAGAACAUGAGAGUAAAACUUUUACUAUCUGCAGUCAAAAAAGUUUUACCAUCCAAGUUAAAGAUUUUAAUUUACAUUACAAGAUAUAUAUGAAAUUUUAAUAUUAUUAUAGAUUGCAACUUUUAAUUUUUUUUUGCAAUACUUUAGAAAGUGAAUAAGUUCUUGAUAUUAAUAUGUUUUGAUUCUCCUAAAUUUGCGAAUCCAAAACCUCACAAAAGAAGACAUGAGAUUGAGUUCAUGAGCCGGAUCGAGUUCGUUAAUUGUUCCUCAUACAUGUGUCUAUUUAUUGUGCGGCCUCUGUUUCAGUUUAUCAUUAAGGUUAUUGUUCCCACAUUUAGGAUUGUUAAUUGUGAUGUUAUUUGGUAGCCGAAAGAGUCCAUAUUUACUUUAAUAAGUGCCUCGGUGCCAUUAGAAGAAGAUCAAGUGUGCCUAUGGACUGGUUGAAGACUUUUAACAGCUACACACCUUGGUCAUUGCUGAUUCUCAGUCUCAUUUAUUUUUUGAUUCUCUUCCUUGUUAUGCAAUGUGACUACCGCAUGACUUGUAUUUCUCAGUUACUAUUUGUUGAUUGAUUUUAGUUGUUUUGUUCAUCCCAACGUGGGAAUACAAAAUUUUCCCGCAUUCAUUUUGGAAUUAUUUUUCAUGAAUUGUGAUAUGCAUGCACAUCAGAUGCAUAGGUUCUAAUCGUGUCGUAAAUGGAUCAAAUAUUUACUCUUUUGCCCACAAAGUUUUCCUACUAUGGUAAAGGGUCCUUUUUAGUGUCAAAAUGUUUUUGUUACAAAUGAAUCGGACAUUUAUCUUUAUGUUGAAGGAUCUUCUAACGUGAUUCCUUGUCAAAUCCUUUGAUGCGUGCAUUUGAAAAUAGGGGAGAUUCCUGCAAAAGACACUCCAAGCUCAAGUCAGGAUUUGACUUAAAGUUGUUAGUGAUAUCUGUGAAUGUUUUAACAUGAAUUAGUCCUCUUACAUGAAAAGUUCACCUUUUUUAUACUGACCUUACUGGACUUAGGGUCUAUGGACUUGUAUAUCUUGAUUAUCAGGUGAAUAAUACAUUUUUUAAUCAUGCUUAAACACUUCUAAUCACAGGUCGAAUGAUACAUGUCAUCCACAUAUGUUAAAGAUCGAGACGUAUGGUACGAAAUAUGUAGAUACAUGAUAAAAAAAAUGAUUUAGAUGAAUACAUGACCGAAGGAGAUACUUGAUUUAAAUGUAUUAGGUAUCCCUUCAACCUGAAUAUUUUUUCCGAUAUAGGUUUUGUUAAAUGUUUAAAUCUUAUGUGAGUUUAAAGACUUUCAUAUCCAAUAUAACAUAUUCUAAAAAUUAAGGAUUUUUUAGAGGAAAAAUGAAUAAAUAUCACGUGUAACAAGAGAAAAUUUAAAUUGUCCGUAUGAUUUUAUUUUUUUAUUAUAUCAUUUUAUUCAUUGAUACUACUACAUAAUAUAAAGAAAAAUUCUUUAACAAAAAAAGGUGCUUUACAAAAAAAUAAAUAUAAAGAAAGGAUAAAUUCUAAAUAAUUAAAUACUACUAAAUCUUUAUUACAUUUACACUGACAAAGUCGCAGUACAUAUAAAGUAAAGUCGAUCCUGAAAAAAACAAAGUACUUUUAAAAAAAUUUCCUAACAAAAUUCUAUAAAAAUGGCUAAAAUGUUAUCAUACUUAAUAAUAUAUAUUAUAAUAUAAUAUAUGUUGUAGAAUAAGAACAACAACACUACUCCUACUGCAAAGUUUGGUGAGUUGUGUAAUUUUGUUUGUUCAUCUUGUGUUGUUCACUGUUCUUUCCCAGACCCACCUCAAAGUUGAAAGCAGCCAUGGGUUUUUUCUUGAAAUGGGUCAACUUGUUUGUCUUUUUUCAUUUCCUUGCUGCAACACCCAUCUUCUCAGAUUCCUCCUCCAGCUCAAAUGCAAUCGCCACCACCAAGUUCCUUGAUUUAGCCAAGGAUCCUCGGGUUUUUGAUUGGAUGGUUGGUAUCAGGAGGAAGAUUCAUGAGAAUCCAGAACUGGGUUAUGAGGAAUUUGAGACCAGUAAGCUGAUUAGAGCUGAAUUGGAUAAACUGGGCAUCUCAUAUAAACACCCAGUUGCAGUCACGGGUGUUGUUGGCUUCAUAGGGACUGGACUUCCUCCUUUUGUUGCAUUAAGAGCUGACAUGGAUGCUCUUCCUAUGCAGGUCUAUAUGAUUUCUAUAUAUUCUUCUUUCUUUCCAUUUACUGUUACCAUGUGCUUGUAAUUGUGUCAGGGUUCUAGCUUUUCAAUUAUUAUUAUUAUUUAUCGUUAUCCGAGUGCUGGAUCAACUGAUUUGAAGUUGUUCUAACUUAAUUAUUAGUAGGUCUCGGAUUCGAGUCCCUUGACUGUGAUAAAUACUUGAAGGAAGAACUUUCCUACAUGUGCAUGCAGUGAUUCUGCACAACUCGAACAUGAUUUCCUUCCAUGGAGGAUACCUGUAGUCUAUACCAAAAAACUUAUUAUUGUUAUGAAAUCCAUCCAUUUGAGUUUGAUUAAAAACUAAUGCUUUGCCUCUAAUCAAAUUUUCAUUAUUAGCCCUCCUACCCUUUUCCAGUUUAUGGGUUAUAUUUCUAAGAGCUACACUGUUUCGGCUAUAUUUUGUUGAUUUAUUUUGCUUCUUUAACCUUAGGAAAUGGUGGAGUGGGAGCACAAGAGUAAAGUACCUGGAAAGAUGCAUGCAUGCGGUCAUGAUGCUCAUGUUGCCAUGCUUCUUGGUGCUGCAAAGAUCCUCAAAGAGCAUGAAAAUGAGAUACGAGUAUGGUCCUUUGCUUCAUAGUUUAUACAUAUAAAACUUGUUGUUUUACUUUUUUGUUUUUUUAAAAAAAAAUGUUAUACUGCUUUCAUUUUGCCAUCUCGACAAUACUAUGAGAUUUGACUCCUCUAAAAUGAUUAGUUUCCCUUAAGGAGAAAAGUGAGACAUUUCAGCCUUUAAUGAGAAAAUCAACAGAAUAGAUAAAUUUUAACAAAUUUAUAAUUGGUCUUGCAUGCACUUGUAAAUUGUAAUACCGGCAGUUGGUUUUUUUGUUUAGCAGUUGAGAUUCCUUACUUUUCCAUCCAAGGUUGUGACUCUUCUGAUGGUUAUGUAGUUUUGCUGUUAAAAAUUUUUCUGCCUUUUCAUUUUUAUUGUAAUCAUGUCAAAGUCAAACAUGACUUCUGAUUCAGACAUUGGCAAACUGCUACCGGUUAUGACUGCUCAUUAGGCCAACUUUGUGUGUUACAAACUUUCAAUCAUCCUAUCAUCCGGCUUACAAAUUUAGUCUUAAAAACAUAAUGCAUCUGUGUGUAAUUGUAACGAAAACAUAAUCUAGAAGAAGACUGGAAAAGGAAAAUAGUUGGCCACUAUAUCAUCUACUAUUGCAAGACAGUUACUUCAGCUUACUACUUUUUUUUAAAUUGUGUUUUCCUAUUGUUUUAGUCCUCUUAUGGAUCCUUUAUAUCAUUCCUUAAUUUAUCUCUAUAGGGAACUGUUGUUCUUGUUUUUCAACCAGCAGAAGAAGGAGGUGGAGGGGCUAAGAAAAUUUUAGAUGCUGGAGUCUUGGAAAACAUCUCUGCCAUAUUCGGAUUGCAUAUUGCACCUACCUAUCCUAUAGGUGAAGUGGCCUCUAGGUCGGGUCCCAUAUUUGCAGGAAGCGGCUUCUUUGAAGCAACAAUAAAUGGCAGGGGAGGCCAUGCUGCUAUCCCUCAGCACUCUAUAGACCCAAUAUUGGCAGCUUCCAAUGUGAUUGUUAGUUUACAGCAUAUUGUUUCUCGCGAGGCCGAUCCUCUGGACUCCCAGGUAAACUUAUUUCAUUUCAAUCUUUCCCUUUCUGCCUUAGAUACUCAUCUAUUCUUGGUUUAUCCUUGCCUUACGGUCCAAGACCAUUCAGUUUGUACCAUACUUUGAAUCCAUGACUACCAGAGUGGCCAGCCUGUCUUGUAUAUGCUCAGUGGGCAUAAAAAACAACUAAUGGAAGCAGGAAAGUUAAGCUGAGUGUUAGCUAUCAAACCACUAUCAUUAGCAAUUCUUAGUUUCUCUUGCUUUCUUCGACUCACUCUUUUUUGUUAUCUACACAUGGUUUGGAAGUAUCAGUGCCACUCCCACCUUUUUGACUUUACUUAAUUUGAGACCUUACACUUUUUUAUCAUUAUGAGUCAUUAAAAGCUUCUUUGUAUGCUUGUGGGUCUUGGACAUUGAUAUGUUAUCAGAGAAUAGAGAUUCUCACAACUUAUACAAUAAUUAGUUCAACGCACACUGCCUUGCCUACCAUGUAGAUUGGUUAAACAUACUACAGUAUUAUCUCUUUAAAUGAUUAUUGAAUAUGAUAAAGCCUUGUUUCCAUAAAUAAUUCAUUUUUUAAGGAGAUAAUCUUGGUUGUCUUCCUAACAUAAAGAAUAUCCCCACAGGUCGUCACUGUAGGAAAAUUUCAGGGAGGUGGUGCUUUCAAUGUUAUUCCAGACUCUGUUGCAAUUGGUGGCACCUUCCGAGCUUUUUCAAAAGAAAGCUUCAUGCAACUGAGACAGAGGAUUGAACAGGUCUGUUGUGAGGAUUCAUUUAUACACUUGAAAACCAUUUUUUUUUCUUUGUUAACUCACAAUUAUUUAUUUGUUGCAACAAUGUGUUUUAUUCUUAUUUGUUGCUGUGCAAACUGUUAAUUGACAAACCCCAAAAUAGAUGCAUGGAUCAUGGUAGAGAUUCCGCAUAUAACAAAAUUUGUUGGGCAGUUUGCAAAGUCUUUGCGUUUAUCUCUCUUAAUGUGUACUUGUAUGGUGAAAAAGUUGCACUAGAGGAUUCAAAUAAUGGAUUACUGAAAUUCAGGGACCUAAAUUCUUGUGGGGUGUUUUUUAUUUUUUUUAAAUUGCUACUGUGCAAGCAGAUUAAUAAAUUACUGUCUGAAUAAAACGAUUCAUAAAUUACUGCCAGGUAAAUAGGGUCAAAAUCUUGCAGACUUUUUUUCUUUUGUUGUCAAACUUAUUUGGUUUGUGUUGCAACCAAGAAAUGAUUGUACUCUUGUUGUAGUUUUCACUGCAAUCCUAUUAGGGGCUAAGGCUGAUUCAUUUAUGUAGGUUAUCACUGGGCAAGCUGCAGUGCAGAGAUGCAAUGCAACGGUCAACUUUCUUGACGACGAGAAACCUUUCUUCCCUCCUACAGUAAACAAUGGUGACUUGCAUGAGUACUUUAAAAGUGUUGCUGGGAGUUUGCUUGGCGUCAAUAAUGUUAAGGACAUGCAACCAUUGAUGGGAUCUGAGGACUUUGCAUUCUAUCAAGAGGUUUUUCCGGGAUACUUCUUCCUCCUUGGAAUGGAGAAUGUCUCUAUUGAACAUCUUGAAUCUCCACACUCUCCAUAUUUCAAAAUCAAUGAGGACGCACUUCCUUAUGGAGCUGCACUUCAUGCAUCAUUAGCUAGCAGCUAUCUUCUCAAAUUAAAUCAGGACAUACCAGUAGUGGAGGGGAAACAUCACGAUGAAUUAUAGUUUACAACGCAGAUUGUUGAAAGCCCUUGUUGGGUUAUUUGUAGGUGCAAUCACGACGUAGUGAGGCAUUGGUUGGUUACAUCCUUAGUGCUAAAUGUAUUGCAUUCAAAUUAAAAUAAAUCCAUAGUGCUUCCACAUUAUAAUCAUUAACCCUGUUUAUCUAGGGUACAAAUCAAAUGGGAAAGAACAGACAACUUUUUAUUUUGAUAGUAUUUUCUACAAUUUCAAAGUCACUCAACUAUUAUAGAAUUCUACUCUAAGUUGAAAUAGAACAGAAAGACACAGUACAAUGAGAUGAUUCCUUUGCAAGAACUGUGGGGGAUAGUCUGAUGAUGGGAAUCCCAAAACAUUGAAACACCUGUUCAGCUAUGCCUAAAUUUGCCUGCUAGUCGAAUAAAAUGUGGUUUAUGUUCAAUGUCCUAGACACGUGAGCAAGGCAGUUUCUGAAAACGGCGACUUAGCUUAUAAAUAAAUUAGCAUGAUGCUGCAAUUAGCACAAGAUUCAUCCCAUAAACCAUGCGGUUAUAUGAAAAUAUUCGUGAAUAGGAAGCUGUAAAGACUUGUCUUCUAAAAUAUUCUUGAAGAAAUCCUGGUUAAUGUCAUCUGUUCCAAAGGUAGCCAGAUGAAUAUCAUCCUUUGAUUAGUCCACAAAUCCAAGGCAAUAGUGCUAGUCAACAUUUUCCGUUAGAAACUUAAGAUAGUACUGUGAGACCGUAGUAGUAUUUUUUUUAUUCUUGAUCUAGAAUUCUAAGGGCUAAAAUGUAAGAAUGGUGCUUAACCUAUUUUGGUUUUAAAUUGAUACUUAAUUUUUAAAAGUUUUAAAAUGGUUCCUUUAUUUAAUUAUUGAGAUGCUUGUCAUUUUGAAAUACUUUACAUUUUCAAUUUUCAUACAUAAUUUUAGAAUUUUUUUAAUUGAUUCAAGACAUAAAAUUUGUUUCAUUAGAUUCACAUGCGUAAUACCCUAGAUGAGUUACACUAAAAUAAGAGAGAUCCAGCUGAUGUUGUGCAGGUAUAAUACUAUACAAUUGAAUAUAAUUUAAAGGAAUUAAUUAGAAAUAUUUAUAUCAACAAGAUAACAUAUACUUUUUGGUAAUUCAUCACUUAAAAACUUCAUAGUUAAGUGUGUUUGACUUGGAGUAGUUAUAAGAUGUGUGAUCUUCUAGAAAGUUUUCUAGAAAAAACGUGUGAAUAAAACAAAGGACUACCUAAGGAGGAUUCUGACGAAUGAGGAGUUGAGUGAGGUAUCACCGUGAAGUGUCGGAUAAAGUGUGAGCCAUUAGAAGUUGAUGAUCAUGAGUGUUACAAAUGAUAUUAGAGCUGACCUCUCUUCUAAUACGGUGUGGUUCAAGGAUGAAUUAGGCGAAAGUUGGUGAGCAUGUAACACUUUGGAUGAAUCACACCAGGAAGAGAGGGAUUCAUAUUAUACAAUCGAGAAUAACUUAAAUGAAUUAAUUGACACUACCUAUACCAAUAAGAUGUACAUACUUUUUGGUAGCUCAUCACUUAAAAAAUUUCAUAAUUAAACGUGUUUGACUUAAAAUAAUUAUGAGAUGAAUGACCUUUUAAGAAAUUUAACAAAAAAACGUGUGAGUGAAAACAAAACACACAAAAAAUCUUGUGUUUGUUUGUGAGGAUAAUAUUACCUAAAGUCUUAAAAAAUAUUACCUACAAAAGAUUCUGAUCAAAUUUUGACCAACAAAGAAUUAAGUGUGAACGGUCAUAAGUUGAGUUGGGAGAAGUUCACAAUCAAGAAAGUUACAACUUAAAAAAUAUGAGGAGUAUACUUUUAAUUUGCUGUCAGUUUUUGAUUGCCCAUCUAUUUGGUCGUUUCUUGGUCACCGUAAGAGCUUGCAUCGAGGCCAUCUAUUUUUUUCAAAAUAGAUCGAACGGUCUAAAAGAACUCAGGCAUGGUACCAACCCUAUUUAAGUCAUGCAUAGUAGAAUUCAUCAAAAAAGAAAGCCAUACAAGAAAUAUUCUUUUAGCCAACAGUGGAUUUCAUACGUGAGCUACGUACCCUAAUUCUGAUCUGAGAACCAAGAACACAGAGUCUUGGGAGAAAACCCCUUACAAUCGCUGAACUUGAAAAACCCUAGCACACUAUUUCCUCUUCCGUAAACUCCACGUUUCUCCACCGCUCCAUGCCUUGUCAUUUUUCACCGCUUGUCCAGUCGGAACCUCUAGCACUAUUUCAUCUCCCUCUUCCGUAAACUCCACGUUUCUCCCGCUCCAUCACCGAAAGACAUAACGGAUCAACAAUUGCUGGAUCGUCAAGGUAUCGCACAUACUGAGAACCCAGAACCCAGAACCCUAGAGUCUUGGGAGAAAAAUCCUUACAAUCAUUGAGAAGUAGCAAGACCCUAGCACAACGAAACAGAAGGGAUUCAAUAAAUUUUCGUUUGCGCCUUUCCCAAAGUUUGAACUUCCACAUCCAUCUCGUUAAGAUUUAAUGUUAGUUUGAUGCUUUCCCGUGUUCUGAUAGUGUGUUUGAUGCGUUUUCAAUCUACCUUGCAGCUUGCAGCAAAACUAGUGCUUCAGUUUCUAACUCCUUUGCUCCGAGUAAGUUUUCUAAAUGUAUUUUCUCUUGUUACAAUUUGAUAGAACAAAUAAUUUUUUUACUAGUUAAUGAUAUUGUUAUCACAAUUUGAUAUAACAGAUCAUGGGACUAAAACUAAAAUGCGCCUAUUGUGUUCGCUUUGGGCAUAUAUGCGGGCCAGUCUGCCUGCACCGCAAUUACUUAUCCGAUCUACAUAAAGAUAUGCCUCGGCGAACAUAUGUUAUUCUCCCAUGGUGAAGCAAUUCGCAGCAUUGCUGUCGUACCCCAUCCACACAUAUCACUAAAAUGUGGGUGAAUCUCAUGGUAUGGCACAAUCACAUAUUGAGAUUGCUUAGUUAAAAAAUUCAAAUGUAAACCAUCAACGUAACAUGAGUAGCCCAACGAACAUGCACAAACCAACACUCCCCUUGCCUCCUCUGCAGUCACAUCUUGAUUUCCUAGAGAAGAUCUUAAUUAAAUUUGAAAAGAGGGAUAAUACUAACUAACCAUUGAUCUCCCGAACUCUAGGAAAUUCAAAAGUAAGAUAUAUGAGAAUUGCAUAACUCAGAAGAAAAACCAAACAUAAAAUUAUUCAUACAAAUGAAAUUAAAAAAAAAAAAAAGACAGAACGAAAGGAAAAAAGUUGUUAGGCUUGAAACAUUGGUUGUCAUAGAAUAUGCAUCAUAAAGGAAGAUAAACAAAAUUGGCGUGAUUCUAUAGAGAAAAGUGAAUUAGAGAGAAAAAUAAAGCAAGACAAAGCAAUAAUACAAUGAAAUAAUUGAUUGAAGCAUCAAAUAAUACCUUCACUCCUUCAAUAGAACAAUUCACUGACAUAAAAUUAGCGUUAUGAGCAAAAACUCAAGGCAAAGAGAGUUUCAUAAAAAGAAACAAGAGAAUGCUAGUGAUGAAUAUUGAAUAACAUUAUUUUAUAUGCAGAUGACUUAUAGGUAUCAUGGUUAUCAUGAGCAGCAAACAUAUACUGAUCGCAACGUUAAAAGUGAAUGAAUGAGUCUCUAAAUUUAAAGCCAUGAAAUCUCUUUCAUGCACAAUGACACUUUCCAACAAAAUCGACUUCGGCUAAUGUAUCCCGACAUUUCUUCCUUUCUGGUAUCACAAGACAUUAACAAAUCUUCAUCUUGAACUUUCAAGAAAAAAAAGAGGAGAAAUGAAGCACAAAAAACGGAAUAUGGAAAUAACCCCCCACAUAAUUAAUAAAACUUAUCCUUAACAAAUCAACAAAAUCAAAUGCAAAAAUAUGACAUGUAUAAUAAAUAUUGACAAAAAAGAAUUAAAUUAGUAGAAGAAGAGAAAUUUCAAGAAUCCAAACCCGUUUAAACAAUACCCAGAAGAAGAGAAGAAGAAAAAAAACAAAUAAAACACAUUCAAACGAAAGUAAUAGAAAAAAAAGAGGAAAAUAAUAAAGCGAAGCGAAGACUCACUUUAGCGAAAGAUCGAAGAUCAAAGCAUCAAAGCAGUGGGCAUUUGUAGAUCCAAAAUAUUGUAGCGAAAGAUCGAAGAUCAAAGCAUCAAAGCAGUGGGCAUUUGUAGAUCCAAAAUAUUGUAGAGUUUCAAGUCAAAACAUAAGGUGCAUGCACAUUGGAAAUUGAAUUUUUAUUAUUAAGGUUUAGGUGACUUAAAUAUAAAGUGAAAGAUUGAAUUUUACUAGAUAAACCUUAGUUGAAUGGAUGUAUUAAAAAUUAUUUUUGUUUCAACUUUCAAGAGAGCUUAUUUAUUAUAGUUGAUGACAAUCUUCACUAUAAAUAAAGAAAAAAAUUAGUGGAGAAACAUAACACACGAAGAGCGAGUGUGUGAGAAGGGAGAUUAUGAAACAAAGUCACUUUGUUGAGAGAAAAAUAUCUUUGUGUGAAAGUGUUAUCAUUUCUUGUAAUCAUUGAAUGAGGUACUCGGGUCUAUAGAGUGAUACACUAUUUGAGGUGAGUUACAAUCUUGUAAUUAUUUUUGUGAUAGUGAAAUAGUUUUUUGAAAUGAUUCCGUGAACGUAAGCAAGAGGUGUCGAACCAUGUUAAAUUUUUGUGUUUGUUAAUAUUUUUCUAUUGUGUAAUCUUUAUUGUGUUUUCACAAUCCUUUGUGUUUGUGAGUGUGAGUAAUUUUAUUUGUGAGAGCAUUGAUUAUCCAACAAAUAUUGACAAAAAAGGGAGAGGAAGAAAAGAUUGACAAACAUAUGUAAGGCUUUGAAAGAGUGAAUUAGAGGCAAAAUGUGUAAAUGAGAUCAAUUCUACAUAGAAAAAAUGUUAGGAACCACAACUAAGAGUCAACGGUUAUUCAUGGGUGGCGACAAUAUUGAUAUUGUGAUUUGUAACAUGAAUAAGAGAAGUUUGUAGUUACACACAAGUAGUUAAAGGAAAGAAUAAUAGAUGAUAAUUUUCUAAUUAAUUUAAGGAUAAAAACAUCAAAUGAAAUAUGUAUAUUAAAAGGAAAUAUUCUCUUUAUAUAUUGUUAUAGAUGUUGAAAAUAAUUUUCAUAAAAUUUUAUUUAGAUCAUUUACAAAUCACCUAGAAUAAUUUUUAGCUUCCCAUCCAGUUCCAUAGUUCUAAUGACAACCCUGGAACAAAAUAAGUGCAUAUCACAUAGCUAAAAAAAAAACUUGAGCAUGGGGCAUGACUUGAGUGACUUGGUGCACAUUAGAAUCCCCAAAUUCUAAGCACUUUGAUAUUUAGGAUAAAUAGUCACUUUUGUCUCUAAAUGUGUAAUUAAUUAAUAAAUGUAUCUCUGAAAGAUGAAAAUAUAAAAUUUAGCCCCCGAAAAUGUAAAAAGUGCGACAAAUAUAUCUGACAGUUAACUUCUAAUAAAAUAACCUACGUGACAUAGAGGGAUAAAUUUUUCAUUGAGAUGAUUGUCAAUGUGAUCAUCUCUAAUUGUCAGCAUAUGAACAUAUUUGUCAUAUAAUAUUUUUUUGAUUUUUUUUAUUCCAAUUCUGUUGAACAAUGCGUCCCUGAAAGUUGAAAAUACAAACUUUAGUUCUUGAAAGCAUGAAAGGUGCAACAAAUAUAUCCAAACAUUAAUAGUAGAUUGUGACUAAUUAUUAUAAUUUUAAAAAAAUUAUAAUGAUUGCGACAAUUUUUAACACUCGUAAAUUAAAUUGAGUCUAAAAGAAAAAAAAUACUCAUUUUAUAAAUCAUAAAUAAUUUUUUUACACUCCCAUGUUUGAUGAAAGGUUCAAGUAAAAAAAAUACUUAUUGUAAAACAUUAUAGUUAAAUUAGAUCCAUGAAUAAUUUUUAGGAAAAAUUAUAAUUGCAAUGAUACUUUUAAUUUGUAAAAAAUACUUACCUCCUUUGGAAUAAUUUUUUUAAGGUUAUGAUUUUUUAAAUGAUCAGUCAAUAAAAAAUAAUUGUGUAAGAUUUUAAAAAAAUAAUUUAAAAAUCAACAAACUUUUAUUAUUAUGAUUUGCAAUUUGAUGUAACUGCAUAUAUAAUAGACAAUCAUAUUUUAUUAUGAAAAAUUUAUAAAAAAUAAUAAUUAAAUAAAUAGUGUUUGAUUAAACAGAAACCAUAAUUUUCUUAUUAUUUUAUAAUAAUUUUUUUUCCUAUUUUGAUAGCAUUUAUUCAAGAAUUAACAUCUAAAAGAUUAAAUUUCUUUUGUAGUUAAAGAAAAGUAAGAAGAAUUCCCCAAAAUAAUAAAAAUUCACUUCCAUUGGUAAUAUUUUAUGUAUGUCUCAACCGUUGAUGAAACUUGAAAACACUCACCAGUGUGAUAUAGCUCUCCCAAAAUUUUGUUGCAAUCGUUGUAAAUUUUUUAAAAUUAUAAUAAUUAGUCAUAAUCUAUUAUUAACGUUCGGAUAUAUUUGUCGUAUUUUUUACACUUUUGGAGACUAGAUUUUAUAUUAUUUUCAUCUUUUAGGGUCGCAUUUGCUAGCAAAGUGAGAAGACGAGAAGUCAAAAAAAUAUUAUAUGACAAAUAUGUUUCUAUGCUAGUAAUUAGAGAUGACCAAACAAAUUCAUCUCUAUGUGUCAAUGUAGAUUAUUUUAUUAACAGUGGAUACGAAAGUCACAUAUAUUUAUCGUAAUUUUUACACUUUUGGAAACUAAAUUUAAUAUUUAUAUUUUUUAAACAUUUGUCAAUAAAUUAUACAUUUAUAAAGAAAAGUGAUUAUUUAACCUCAUAUUUAUUAAUGGUUAAAUUACUCAUUUGAUUCCUAUAAUUUGAUGAUUUUUACCUUUUUAGUUCUUAUAAUUUAAAAAUGAUAUUUUUAAUUCAUAUAGUUUACAUUUUAAUUAUCUUUUAGUUCUUGUAGUUUAAAAGUGUUUUUUUAGUGAUUAUAGUUUGUAUUUUAAGUCUUUUUUAAUUUUUGUAAUUUGAAAACAAUAGGAAAUAAAAAAGUAAGAAUCAUGAAUUAAAAAAAUCACUUUCAAAACUAAAGGGACUAAAAAAGAAUUAAAAUAUAAAUUAUAAUAAAAAAAACCACUUUUAAAUUAUAAAAAUUAAAAAAAUAAGAAAUAUAAAACUAUAAAGAUUAAUGAGUAAUUUAACUUUUAUUAAUUUAUGAGAGCUAAAAACCUAUCGUCCAACUCCAAUCUAACAUAUAGUUAGUUAGCUAGCUUACCUGUCCGCCGCGAAAGUGAGCAUUGGACUGCGCAGGGUGCAGAAAAGAGGGAAGAGGAGAGUGAAACCGCGAAAUGACGAGCAUUUCGUAUCUAACCAACACUCUGCUGCCACUGCACAUCCGAAGGUUUCGGCCUUCUCUAUCCACUCUCUCUUGCUCUCUGGCCUCAGAUGUGGACCCCACUCCCAAUUCCUACUUCCCCAAGCGCGGCCAAACCCUCGAACUGGUGUGCGAGUCCCUUGCCUUCAAAGGGAAGGGCCUCUGCAAGGUCACCCAAACCGGCUUCGUUGUCCUCUGCGACCGCGCCCUUCCUGGCGAACACUUCAUCGGCCGCGUCACCCGCAAAAAAGGCAAUUACGCUGAGGUCACUCACCUCUUCUCUUCUCUUCUCUUCUCUUCUCUUCACAAACACCUUUCUCUUUCUCAUUUAAUUAACUAACACACAGGUAACUAAGGUCAAGACCAUAACUCCUCCUCGUGACAUUGUCGAUGCUCCUUGUGUCUACGCUCCUUAUUGCGGCGGCUGCAAGACGCAAAACUUGUCCUACGAGGCUCAGCUCAGAGCCAAGGAGGAGCAGGUACGCGACUUGCUCAUUCACGUCGGAAAGUUUUCUCUCCAACAUCUCCAACUGCACGCCGUUCUGAAGCCCAUUGUUCCUUGUCGUAUUCAGUUUCAUUACAGGAAUAAGGUUAGUCAAUAGUCAUGCUGUCUCUGCUACUUCUUUUUUAACCAGAUAUUGGCCCGAGGAGCUGAAUGAAUGACUUGUUUUGUGUGUGUAUGCAGAUGGAAUUCUCGUUUGGUCCCCAAAGAUGGUUGCCUAAAGAAUCACUGCAAGACAGAAUCGUUGAUGAUGAUACUAAUGAAAAUUAUGCGCUGGGCUUGCAUGCUCCGGGUUUCUUUGAUAAAAUUCUAAAUGUUGACAACUGCUUACUGCAAUCUCAUCCUGCUAAUAAGGUAUGCACUGCUUUAUCCACUGCAGUGAUUUUGCAAGAUUUAGUUUUAUUUCAUUGCCUAUCAUAUCUUGGAACCUUAUUUGAUCACUUUCCUUCUGUUUUGGUUUUGACUUGAAAAUCUGAAUAGGUACUUGCAGCUGUCCAAGAAUGUUGGAGAGAUCCACAACUUGGUUUUUCUCCCUAUAAUGUUCAUUCGCACAAGGGAUUUCUUAAGCAUUUGAUGCUGAGAACGGGAAGGUAUAUAAGUUAUAUCUUGUGAUCCCACAAUUGCUUAGACACACAUGGAUACUGUAGUUCUUGUAAAUAAAUUAAAAUUUAUUUCAUUUUGCAGCAAACCGAUCAACUUGGUAGCAAAACUUGAUGUUUUGUAUGGCCAGGUCUAUACUUGAGAUUUAAAGAGUGUUUAUAAUUAUUUGUGCACAUAAAUUACACUUGUAGUUGUACCAUUCCUAUAUCUUUGAAUUUGAAGGAUACCUUGUGUUUUUUUUUAAUAUCAAUAUUAAUAUGAGUUUUGUUCCAGGGAUGUAACAACUGAUCAGCCUGAAGUUAUGGUCAACUUUGUGACCUCUUCCUACAAGCCAGAGCUGUUGAAGUUCCUAGUUGAUAAAGUUUCCGUAUUUCCUGAAGUGGUUGGUACUUAAGUUUUUUAAUUACUUUUUUUUCUUAUAAAUGUGCUUCUUCCUUAACUUUCCAAACUGUAUGCACAUAUUGAUUUUAAUACCAUUGAAGUUUCUUCUUUGCAUGAAUGAUAGGUAAGUGUCAUUAAUAAUGUAAAUACUUCUGUUGGCAACACAUCUGUUGGGGAGGAAGAAUACACUUUGUAUGGGAAAUCUAGCAUUACAGAGACCUUAAGAGGGCUUACAUUCCAAAUAUCAGCCAACUCUUUCUUUCAAACAAAUACUUAUCAGGUUUGCAAUGAGCCCAAAAAUUUUGGCAUUCUCUUUAGACCCUGUCCCAUAUUUUAUUUCUUAAAUUUAGUCAUGGUCACCUGUCAAGAAAAAAAA
This 21172-nucleotide long non-coding RNA is filed under the name Glycine max (soybean). Its description in RNAcentral is "long non-coding RNA (GMAX_LNC003061)". The stretch from base 6 to 252 matches the Rfam family "RNase MRP". Lineage: Eukaryota; Viridiplantae; Streptophyta; Magnoliopsida; Fabales; Fabaceae. The record is from RNAcentral.